UACGUAGGUGGCAAGCGUUGUCCGGAUUUACUGGGCGUAAAGAGCGCGCAGGCGGUCGUUCAAGUCGCGUGUGAAAGCCCCCGGCUCAACUGGGGAGGGUCACGCGAUACUGAUCGACUCGAAGGCAGGAGAGGGUAGUGGAAUUCCCGGUGUAGUGGUGAAAUGCGUAGAUAUCAGGAGGAACACCAAUGGCGAAGGCAGCACUCUGGGACGUGACUGACGCUGAGACGCGAAAGCGUGGGGAGCAAACAGG
Molecule: ribosomal RNA, 253 nt
Filed under: uncultured bacterium
Lineage: Bacteria
Description: partial 16S ribosomal RNA
Rfam family: Bacterial small subunit ribosomal RNA
Source: RNAcentral